CUGAGCAUGUCCUGCCCUCACUCCCUUUCUUCUGAUGCGCUUUGUCCCAGGUUUAAUCCACCAGACAGGGAUUGCAAGAGGAACUCUCUGGAUGGUCACACAACAAAUGCAUUUCAGAAAUGGGGGAGCGGAGAUGUUUGCAUUGACAUCAGCCUCCAACAUUCUGCAAGGCCAAAGACUCCAAACCUAUCCAAGUUAAUGUGGUUACUGUGGGUGACAAGAAUAAUUUACCAACAAAAAUUGGCAUAUCAAAGACUAGUGAUAGCAUUUCAAAAAUCUUCAAGGAGGCAAAUCUUGCCCUGACAUUUGAUGGGAGCUAAACAGAGAUUUAGAAGCAGCCUGUGGUCCUCUUGGCAUUUGGCUGUACCUGUGGAAAGAACAGCGCAGGCCUUUUAGAGGACUCAUUAAAGCUUAAUCCAAGGAAGGUUCUCACUGAACAGAAUGUGAGGAUGUUUCUCUGUUCCUCUAGGGCUGCUCAUCGUGCCCUGAAAGCCUUGGCUCUGAAGCAGGGCUGUCCUCAGCACUGGGGUUCAGCUGAAUUUCAAUUUCAUCCAUGCAAUUCCUCAGUUCUGUUUUCCCCACCUUUGCUUUUCAAUAGAGGAGAAAUUGCUGGGAAGUGCUCGGCCAAAUUCGGGCUGCGUGUUUGCUUUGUUCUCCCCUGCGCUGUAAUUGCCCACACUCUGGUUUUGUUCAGGCUUUCCAUUAUUCAUUAAUACCUUGUUUACUU
This 727-nucleotide long non-coding RNA is filed under the name Zonotrichia albicollis (white-throated sparrow). RNAcentral describes it as "lncRNA (ENSZALG00000008802.1)". The record is from RNAcentral. Lineage: Eukaryota; Metazoa; Chordata; Aves; Passeriformes; Passerellidae.